Molecule: transfer RNA, 101 nt
Filed under: Candidatus Woesearchaeota archaeon
Lineage: Archaea; Nanobdellati; Candidatus Woesearchaeota
Description: tRNA-Gly
Rfam family: tRNA
About the family: Transfer RNA (tRNA) molecules are approximately 80 nucleotides in length.
Source: RNAcentral
GCGUCGGUGGUCUAAUGGCUAUGACUUCGGCCUUCCAAGCCGAGUAUCCGGGUUCGAAAACUCAUAAAACUCAUUUAUGGUCGAUUUUCCCGGCCGACGCA